CCUACGGGUGGCUGCAGUGAGGAAUAUUGGUCAAUGGGCGCAAGCCUGAACCAGCCAUCCCGCGUGCAGGAUGACGGCCCUAUGGGUUGUAAACUGCUUUUAUACAGGAAGAAAAAUCUCUACGAGUAGGGACUUGCCGGUACUGUAUGAAUAAGCAUCGGCUAACUCCGUGCCAGCAGCCGCGGUAAUACGGAGGAUGCAAGCGUUAUCCGGUUUCAUUGGGUUUAAAGGGGCUCUAGGCGUCAGUGGUGAAAUCCUGUCGCUCAACGAUAGAAUUGCCAUUGAUACUGAAGAGCUUGAGUUCAGUUGAGGUAAGCGGAAUGUGUAGUGUAGCGGUGAAAUGCUUAGAUAUUACACAGAACACCGAUUGCGAAGGCAGCUUACUAAACUGACACUGACGCUGAUGCACGAAAGCGUGGGGAUCGAACAGGAUUAGAUACCCGGGUAGUC
This 450-nucleotide ribosomal RNA is filed under the name uncultured bacterium. RNAcentral describes it as "partial 16S ribosomal RNA". It matches the Rfam family "Bacterial small subunit ribosomal RNA", at positions 338 to 795 of the family's 1533-position model. The record is from RNAcentral.